UUAAACUCAUCUCACUGCGUUAUGGAGAUAUCUUUCUCAACCAUCAUUACUGAUUAUAUCCAUGACUGAGGCUUCAAUUGGGUUAGUUUUCUGUGCUCAUCUUCUUUGCAAUUCCAUACAUGAGUCAGGGCGAAUUAUAACGAUUAGCGUCAAAUUCUGUGUGUUUGUGACUUGAAUGUGCUCUUGUAUGCUGGGAAUAGGUUCGUAGAUGCAUGAAACAGCUUGCGUGCAGGUUUGAUGAUCGCUGGAAAUUUGGAUCUGUUUUGACCUCGAUGUGUUCUUGGAUUUUCAGAAAAUUUUCGAGUCAGAAUUUCAAAAAUCUUUGUGAUAUAUCGCUAUAAGUUCAGAUCAUGAGCUUCAUAGUGAUCUAGAUUUCGUAAAAUUCCAACAUCCUUUGAUGCAAAAACUUCGGUCUGUAACCCAGCAAAAACUUUUCCCACUUGAAGUAAAAUUCAGAUUCCGGUUUUCUCAGAUUUUGAUUUGCAAAAUUAAAAUAGCAGGAGUCCUUUUCUGCAAGAGGUCAAAACUGGCAAGUUGUUCAUUAGGGUCUUAACUAUAUAUCUGGUAAGUUCGAGUACUUUUAAGCAAAGAUUAGGGGGUCAAUUUGGCCAAAAACUGGACAAGGUCAUUUAUGGCCUACAAAACUCUUUUCAAUCAAGUCCCAGGGAAAACUUGGGAAACUGAAGUUCAAAAACUCAAAACUUGAAAGUUGUAGAACAUACUCAUGGCUAUCUGUGUAAAAUAUCAGAUUUUUCUGAUUUGUUUGGUAUAUUUCUCAGAUUUUGCGAGACCAGGUUGGAAGAGGUUCUGAAUCAGGAACAGUCGGGUCUAAUUGGUCAAGCUGGGGUCAAUCAGGUUAGAAGCGGGUCAAGUAAUCUUAAUGAACUUUGAAGUACACAUCUCAAGUUUUCCAAUGAUGUAAAUGUCACUCAAUGGGUAGGUCAUUAAGGCACUCAAUUGAACCCAAACAUAAUUGUUUAGAAUCAAUAAAAUGAUAAUUAAGUGCUCACUUGAUUGUUUGUGGAUUGUUCAAGGUCCUUUGGUCCUAAAUACAUGGUUAGCUGGCCUUUGUAUGUGAUGUUCUAGAGGCACGAGUUAGGCCUGCGAUAUGUAUGACGCCGGGUAUAUUAGAGGGUUGAUUAGAAUGUAAUUAGGGGAUUAGUGAUACUGGCCCAUUGCUAUGUGAACACAAGUGGGGCUAACUAUCACUAAUCUUGAUUAAUGAAUACCUAGAGGAUUAGGUGGUGGCUUAGGUUGAUUGAUGUGUAUGCUUAAUCUCGAAGUUGAUUCUGAACUAACUGAACAUCGAGUUGAUGUAAACAUCGUUAAUGCCUAGCUUUGCUUGAGUGGAUGCUUUGAAUGAUGUGAAUGGAUCGUUUGAUUAUGAAACCGACGCACGUGAAGGUGGUGACUGGAGGCGACCCCGAGGAGGUGGGAACCAAGAAGAGCCGUCAAUGGUAGAAGGCCGAUGUCCAUUCUGGCCUUAGUAAUUUGUAAUUGUUUAGUUCAGAAUGGCCUAGGCUAGUCCAUUAUCAUAAUAUGUUAGGCUGUGUUUGGCAGUCAAGAUAAAAUUCCGGCCUUAAAGUUUCGCUCGCCAUAGUUAGAGAUACAUGCUUCUGAGGGAUCGUAUCUCAAGGCUUAUAACGAGGUCAUGUGUACCGUUUGCUCAACUUGUAUUGGGUUUUAACUUUCGUUACCUAGCUACUUUCAAUAAUUGAGUGUUUAAUUA
RNAcentral lists this long non-coding RNA (1729 nucleotides) under Eucalyptus grandis. Its description in RNAcentral is "long non-coding RNA (EGRA_LNC005744)". Lineage: Eukaryota; Viridiplantae; Streptophyta; Magnoliopsida; Myrtales; Myrtaceae. The record is from RNAcentral.